This is a long non-coding RNA of Anolis carolinensis (green anole), 1873 nucleotides long. The record is from Ensembl. Lineage: Eukaryota; Metazoa; Chordata; Lepidosauria; Squamata; Anolidae.
AGGUCCCUUAACACAGAAAAUCAUUCCGUGAAAUAUCAAAUAUCAUUCUGUGAAUAGUGUGUCUUCUGUUUAUGUAUUCCUAGCUAUAGAAAGUUUAAGAGAGACCUAAACAAGAAGUUGCAUGGGUAAGGGCAACCAACCAGAAUAAACAGUCUCACACAAGAUGUUGGGAUAACCGAAGGCCACAACUUGUUUAUUGGUUACAAUGAUAACAGGGUUGGCAGCUAUGCAUGGGUCCUGGAUCAAGGAUCUAACAGCCCACUGCUGGCCGAUGCAACAAGAAAACAUCCCUGCCAGAUGAGUUGGGCAAGGUAUUAAAGGCUGGCUAGCAUCCCUGAAGGACAAGUUGUCCGCCAUUACUAAUCAACUCUUUAAAUGCAUACCUUCAGGAAACAGUUUUAGAAAGGUCUGUACACUCAAAUGAGAUAAUGAUUAUCAUCCAAAAGAUUUGGUCAGCUACUCAAAGUUGGGAUCCCUGGACUUUGCCAGUCCUUGAGUUGUUGGUUUCUGGUAUGUUUACAAGAAAGGACACAACUAUGGCACAUUGCUGGUCCCUUACACCAACUAAAUUAUAGCAGUUUGAGAGCACUUCAAUUGGAAUCCUGUAGAAUUGUUGUUUUAUUUUUUUCUCAGUUGGAAAUUUCUUAUUCACUCACCAGAAUAAAUCCCACAUCUCGUCCUGAGGCACAAAGUCGAGGAUUCCAAAGGAUGGUCCCUUGGCAAAUAAGGCAGAUCUUAAUAAUGACUGGGAAGAUUUUCAUCCUUUCUCUAAUAGCAAUGAGUUGCACAACUUUUCAUCUGACUUGACAAAGGACAUUUCAGAUGUCAUUUACAACUUAACUUGAAGACCCAUGUUAUAGGUAGGUGACACCUAGUAUGAUCUUUGCCUAUUAUAAAAUGUGUAAAAUUCCCAAAUUGGUAUUGAUUUAUAUUCUUUACAAUUUGGAAAGGAAAAUAUAUAGGUAGGUUUUCUAUAUUUCAAAAUUAUUUAAAGUCAUUAUUUUGUCUGAUCAGAAUCUUGUUUAAAGUUUAAUUUUCAGAGCUUGAAAGAAUUCAGUUUUGGGCUACAAUUAUUUUGAGCUUCCAAAAUUGAGCAUCUUCAUGUAUUUUCAACGGAGUUGUGUUUUCUUUAGCAACAACAGAAAUACAGGUGUUUUUCAAGUACAGCAUGGCUCCUUAUCCACAGAUUCAAUAUGUAUAGUCUCACUUACCCACGCUCCCAAAAAUAUUCUCCAUAAAUUACUUUUGUGGGGCUAAGUCCUCCACUGCGAUUCUGUGGUAUGCUUUGCGCCCAAGUAUAGGUAAGUAUGAGGUUCACUAUUAUGUAUGGUUUCAGCUAUUCAUAGGAAGUCUUGGAAUAUCUCCUUCAAGGAUACUAUAAUUGUAUCAUCUCACUAGAGCAUUUUUGCCCAUUCCUCAAAGCCCAGUCUUUCUCAUUGCUGAACUGUCCAAUGAAAAUUGAGUGUGUGUAAGUUGCCGUGUAUGGGUGUGUAUGUGUGAGAGAACUUUCAGACAGACAGUAAGGCACAGAUUUCUAAAUUCUGAGAACAGCAAAACCUUUUAUUGCAAAUUAUUUUUUGAUUUUUGUAUUAUCUUUCAGAAGAAGAAUGAAGAUUAUAAGAAUCAAGAUCUUUCUUCCUGCUGAAAGUUCUUAAAAAAUUAAUGUCGUCUCAUGCCCCAAUAAAUUAUUAUUUCUUAUUUAUUCUUUUAAAUUACAAGUAAGGCAGGAAUCUAGGAUGCAAUCUGAAUAAAGUCUACCAUAGUAUUUGGACAGUUCCUUGUCCUUGGGCUUACAAAUGUAAAAAUGCAUGAAACACAAGGAAAAGGGGGAGGGGCAGCUGUGGUGGAAGGGACUAUGUUACUCCUGCUGAGG